RNAcentral lists this ribosomal RNA (253 nucleotides) under uncultured bacterium. RNAcentral describes it as "partial 16S ribosomal RNA". It matches the Rfam family "Bacterial small subunit ribosomal RNA", at positions 524 to 776 of the family's 1533-position model. The record is from RNAcentral.
GACAGAGGGUGCAAACGUUGUUCGGAAUUACUGGGCGUAAAGCGCGUGUAGGCGGCUGGGCAAGUCGGAUGUGAAAGCCCUGGGCUCAACCGAGGAAGUGCAUUCGAAACUGCCGAGCUGGAGUUCUGGAGAGGAAGGCGGAAUUCUCGGUGUAGAGGUGAAAUUCGUAGAUAUCGAGAGGAACACCGGUGGCGAAGGCGGCUCUCUGGAACGGUACGGACGCUGAGACGCGAAAGCGUGGGGAGCAAACAGG